CAGUGGGGAAUUUUGGACAAUGGGGGCAACCCUGAUCCAGCAAUGCCGCGUGUGUGAAGAAGGCCUUCGGGUUGUAAAGCACUUUUAUCGGGAGCGAAAUACCAUUGGCUAAUAACCGAUGGGGCUGACGGUACCCGAGGAAUAAGCACCGGCUAACUUCGUGCCAGCAGCCGCGGUAAUACGAAGGGUGCAAGCGUUAAUCGGAAUUACUGGGCGUAAAGGGUGCGUAGGCGGUUUGUUAAGUCUGUCGUGAAAUCCCCGGGCUCAACCUGGGAAUGGCGAUGGAUACUGGCAAGCUAGAGUGUGUCAGAGGAUGGUGGAAUUCCCGGUGUAGCGGUGAAAUGCGUAGAGAUCGGGAGGAACAUCAGUGGCGAAGGCGGCCAUCUGGGACAACACUGACGCUGAAGCACGAAAGCGUGGGGAGCAAACAGGAUUAGA
Molecule: ribosomal RNA, 438 nt
Filed under: uncultured bacterium
Lineage: Bacteria
Description: bacterial SSU rRNA
Rfam family: Bacterial small subunit ribosomal RNA
Source: RNAcentral